Molecule: ribosomal RNA, 485 nt
Filed under: Moraxellaceae bacterium 'ARUP UnID 11'
Lineage: Bacteria; Pseudomonadati; Pseudomonadota; Gammaproteobacteria; Moraxellales; Moraxellaceae
Description: bacterial SSU rRNA
Rfam family: Bacterial small subunit ribosomal RNA
Source: RNAcentral
GAUUGAACGCUGGCGGCAGGCUUAACACAUGCAAGUCGAGCGGGGGAGRUUGCUUCGGUAAYUGACCUAGCGGCGGACGGGUGAGUAAUACUUAGGAAUCUGCCUAUUAAUGGGGGACAACAUCUCGAAAGGGAUGCUAAUACCGCAUACGCCCUACGGGGGAAAGCAGGGGAUCACUUGUGACCUUGCGUUAAUAGAUGAGCCUAAGUCGGAUUAGCUAGUUGGUGGGGUAAAGGCCUACCAAGGCGACGAUCUGUAGCGGGUCUGAGAGGAUGAUCCGCCACACUGGGACUGAGACACGGCCCAGACUCCUACGGGAGGCAGCAGUGGGGAAUAUUGGACAAUGGGGGGAACCCUGAUCCAGCCAUGCCGCGUGUGUGAAGAAGGCCUUAUGGUUGUAAAGCACUUUAAGCGAGGAGGAGGCUCYUSUAGUUAAUACCUASRRWGAGUGGACGUUACUCGCAGAAUAAGCACCGGCUAACUCU